This 776-nucleotide ribosomal RNA is filed under the name uncultured Neocallimastigales. RNAcentral describes it as "partial large subunit ribosomal RNA". It matches the Rfam family "Eukaryotic large subunit ribosomal RNA", at positions 22 to 645 of the family's 3401-position model. Lineage: Eukaryota; Fungi; Neocallimastigomycota; Neocallimastigomycetes; Neocallimastigales. The record is from RNAcentral.
AUAUCAGUCAUGCAUAGCAUAUCAAUAAGCGGAGGAAAAGAAACUAACAAGGAUUCCCUUAGUAACGGCGAGUGAAGCGGGAAGAGCUCAAAUUUGAAAUCUUCAAGGUUCUACCUUGACGAAUUGUAGUUUAUAGAAGUGUUUUCUGUUAGUGGAGUGGCAAAAGUUCUUUGGAAUAGGACAUCAUAGAGGGUGAGAAUCCCGUAUUUGGUCAUUCCUCCUAGCGUUGUGAUACACUUUCAACGAGUCGGAUUGUUUGGGAAUGCAGUCCAAAAUGGGUGGUAAAUUUCAUCUAAAGCUAAAUAUUGGCGAGAGACCGAUAGCGAACAAGUACCGUGAGGGAAAGAUGAAAAGAACUUUGAAAAGAGAGUUAAACAGUACGUGAAAUUGUCAAAAGGGAAGCGUUUGACACCAGUGUUGUUUUUCCGAAAAUCAAUUACGAAUGUUUUAGUUUUUAAGAAGUUAUGACUUCAUCGGCUUGCUUCUCUCUUUAUGAAACUUUCUUAAUGCACUUUUCGGUUAACAAGUCAACAUCAAUUUCUUUUGUUGUAAAAGGGUACGAGGAAGGUGGCUUUCUUUUCGGAGAAAGUGUUUAUAGCCUUGUGCCUCUGCAAUCGGAGAGAUUGAGGGUCUGCAGCGUAGAUCCUUCGGGGUUAGAUACAUUUGUGCUAAGUUAUAGCUUUUCAUAGACAACUUGUUGACUAUGUUUAGUCUUGUAGCUUACUCGCUUACGCUAUUUUACCUACGCUUAGGAUGUUGAUCUCUCACAGUCGAGC